This 83-nucleotide transfer RNA is filed under the name bacterium. RNAcentral describes it as "tRNA-Leu". It matches the Rfam family "tRNA". From Rfam's summary of the family: Transfer RNA (tRNA) molecules are approximately 80 nucleotides in length. Their secondary structure includes four short double-helical elements and three loops (D, anti-codon, and T loops). Further hydrogen bonds mediate the characteristic L-shaped molecular structure. tRNAs have two regions of fundamental functional importance: the anti-codon, which is responsible for specific mRNA codon recognition, and the 3' end, to which the tRNAs corresponding amino acid is attached (by aminoacyl-tRNA synthetases). tRNAs cope with the degeneracy of the genetic code in two manners: having more than one tRNA (with a specific anti-codon) for a particular amino acid; and 'wobble' base-pairing, i.e. permitting non-standard base-pairing at the 3rd anti-codon position. RNAcentral also lists the same sequence under 2 other names. The record is from RNAcentral.
GCCCGGAUGGCGGAAUUGGCAGACGCGUCGGAUUCAAAAUCCGAUGUCCAUUGGACGUGCGGGUUCAAGUCCCGCUCCGGGUA